Molecule: ribosomal RNA, 492 nt
Filed under: uncultured bacterium
Lineage: Bacteria
Description: partial 16S ribosomal RNA
Rfam family: Bacterial small subunit ribosomal RNA
Source: RNAcentral
AGUGAACGCUGGCGGUAGGCCUAACACAUGCAAGUCGAACGGCAGCACAGUAAGAGCUUGCUCUUACGGGUGGCGAGUGGCGGACGAGUGAGGAAUACAUCGGAAUCUACUUUUUCGUGGGGGAUAACGUAGGGAAACUUACGCUAAUACCGCAUACGACCUACGGGUGAAAGCAGGGGAUCUUCGUACCUUGCGCGAUUGAAUGAGCCGAUGUCGGAUUAGCUAGUUGGCGGGGUAAAGGCCCACCAAGGCGACGAUCCGUAGCUGGUCUGAGAGGAUGAUCAGCCACACUGGAACUGAGCCACGGUCCAGACUCCUACGGGAGGCAGCAGUGGGGACUAUUGGACAAUGGGCGCAAGCCUGAUCCAGCCAUACCGCGUGGGUGAAGAAGGCCUUCGGGUUGUAAAGCCCUUUUGUUGGGAAAGAAAAGCAGCAGGUUAAUACCCCGCUGUUCUGACGGUACCCAAAGAAUAAGCACCGGCUAACUUCGUG